UAUUCACACUAUGACCCGGACACCACCGAGCCAAUCAGCUCCGGCCUUCAGUCCCUGGAGGAGCUGUUGUCGUGGAAACGCAGCGAGGCCAACCCCUUCAACGUGGCGACGGUGCCCCUGGCCAAUCGGGAGCCUUCUCUGACCAGCACGCCGCACCGGACUCUGGUGAGUCACGACAUGAUGGGCGGAUACCUGGAUGACAGGUUUCUGCAGGGAGCAGAGUCGGAUGCUCCCUAUGUGUUCUACCACUGGCAGUACAUCGACGUGUUUAACUACUUCAGCCACAACACGGUGACCAUCCCCCCGUCCGUCUGGACCAACGCCGCUCACAGACACGGAGUCAUCGUCCUGGGCACCUUCAUCACUGAGUGGACGGACGGGGGGAAGAUGUGCGAGGUCUUCCUGAAAGAGGAGGAGUCUUACAGGGCCGUAGCUGAUAGGCUGGUUCAGAUAGCCCACUGUUACGGCUUCGAUGGUUGGCUGAUAAACAUCGAGAACCCUCUCGGUGAGACGGCUGUGAAGAACACUCCUCUGUUUCUACGUUAUCUGACGGACCAGAUGCACGAGAGAGUCCCUGGUAGUAUGGUGUUGUGGUAUGACUCUGUUCUGGAGAACGGACAGCUCAAAUGGCAGAAUGAACUCAACCCAUCCAACAGAGUGUUUUUCUCAGCGUGUGAUGGUAUCUUCACCAACUAUAACUGGACAGAGCAGAACCUGGAGGGAAUGAAGGCCUACUCAGCUGCUCAGGGCCGGCUGGCGGACAUCUUUGUUGGGGUGGACGUGUUCGCCAGGGGAGAGGUGGUGGGGGGGAAGCUGGAGACUAAUAAGGCUCUGGAGAUGAUUCGUAAACAUGACUUCUCCACGGCCAUCUUUGCUCCAGGCUGGGUGUACGAGUCCAUCCCAGACAAGACUGACUUCAGGAAGGAGCAGGACAAGUUCUGGUCUCUUCUGUCUGACUUCCUGUAUGUCCACCGGCCCUCGUCGCCCCUCCCUUUCGUCUCCUCCUUCUGCCAGGGUGCUGGGACCAGCCUCUACUGGAGGGGACAGCGUGAGGUGGAUCGUAGCUGGUUCAACCUAGAUGCCCAGGAGCUGCAACCCCUAUACUACAGAGAGACCCUCGAGGGGGAGGGCUGGCUGAGGACCCAGGGCUGCCCUGAAGAUGCCUGGAGCGGGGGCAGCUCUCUGCUCGUAGAGGGUGUCCUACCCUCCAUGCUGUCUAAAGUCUGCGCCAGGUGGGGGAGUGUGUGGGGGAGUGUGUGUUCCCAGUUGGAGCUGCAGGGCUGUGCUCUGAGGGAUGUGUGUGUCAGCGUGCAGCGUGAUGGAGGAGAUAAGGACACACCUUUCAAAUGCCGGGUCGGAGAGAUUAUGAUCCUGGAUGCUGAGUCCCUCUCCGUUCCUCCCCUCCCAGUGCAGAGUGUGUGUCUCUAUGACGUGGUGUGGCUGAGGGGCGCCAAUAAACUUAAUCUCAACGCCACCCUGCGCUGGCGUUACCCUGCCCAACUCGUACGCCACUUCCUGGUGUACUGGCGCCGGCUGAGGGGUCCAGACCCCCGGAUCCCAUCUGGCAAGCUGGCCCUGAUUGGCCGAGCCUACUGCCCCUUAUUCCGGGUGACCGAGCUGACGGUUCCAGAACCUCCAGGUCUUCUAGAACUGGUGGUGGAACCCGUGUCCCGGGAGGGCUUCCGUGUUCCUGAGUCCCAAUGGGGGAGGAGGAGUCUCAGUUAUACUGAGGAGAGGACGGACCAAUCAUAA
This 1752-nucleotide long non-coding RNA is filed under the name Oncorhynchus mykiss (rainbow trout). RNAcentral describes it as "lncRNA (ENSOMYG00000014858.2)". Lineage: Eukaryota; Metazoa; Chordata; Actinopteri; Salmoniformes; Salmonidae. The record is from RNAcentral.